This 305-nucleotide ribosomal RNA is filed under the name uncultured bacterium. RNAcentral's name for it is "bacterial SSU rRNA". It matches the Rfam family "Bacterial small subunit ribosomal RNA", at positions 338 to 659 of the family's 1533-position model. The record is from RNAcentral.
CCUACGGGAGGCAGCAGUGGGGAAUAUUGCACAAUGGGGGAAACCCUGAUGCAGCAACGCCGCGUGAGUGAGGAAGUAUUUCGGUAUGUAAAGCUCUAUCAGCAGGGAAUAGAAAAGAAGGUACCUGAAAAAGAAGCCCCGGCUAACUACGUGCCAGCAGCCGCGGUAAUACAUAGGGAGCGAGCGUUAUCCGGAUUUAUUGGGUGUAAAGGGUGCGUAGACGGGAAUACAAGUUGGUUGUGAAAUCCCUCGGCUCAACCGAGGAACUGCAACCAAAACUAUAUUUCUUGAGUGCUGGAGAGGAA